This 229-nucleotide ribosomal RNA is filed under the name uncultured bacterium. Its description in RNAcentral is "partial 16S ribosomal RNA". It matches the Rfam family "Bacterial small subunit ribosomal RNA", at positions 104 to 334 of the family's 1533-position model. The record is from RNAcentral.
CGGGGUGAGUAAUGUCUGGGAAACUGCCUGAUGGAGGGGGAUAACUGCUGGAAACGGUAGCUAAUACCGCAUAACGUCGCAAGACCAAAGAGGGGGACCUUCGGGCCUCUUGACAUCGGAUGUGCCCAGAUGGGAUUAGCUAGUAGGUGGGGUAACGGCUCACCUAGGCGACGAUCCCUAGCUGGUCUGAGAGGAUGACCAGCCACACUGGAACUGAGACACGGUCCAG